CACCGCGGUUAUACGAGAGGCCCAAGUUGACAAAUGCCGGCGUAAAGAGUGGUUAAUAACCUGCUAAACUAAAGCCGAACCCCUUCAAGACCGUUAUACGUACCCGAAGGCAGGAAGCCCCCCAACGAAAGUGGCUUUAACCCAUAUGAACCCACAAAAGCUAAGAUA
RNAcentral lists this ribosomal RNA (168 nucleotides) under Drombus triangularis. RNAcentral describes it as "partial 12S rRNA". The record is from RNAcentral. Lineage: Eukaryota; Metazoa; Chordata; Actinopteri; Gobiiformes; Gobiidae.